CCGUAAGAUGUAGCUUGGCUCGCGAGUCGCGAGGGGUAGUGAUAAGAUAACUGAUAGAGCAGGCUGAAUAUCAACUUUGGCGAUAGCUUCCAAUUUCCAUUUUGGUUCCGCCAUUAACAGUUGGAUUGAAAUGGGAAGUAAAGCUCUUCCUCUGCUCAAAGGAGCUUCAUCGUGCCCGUCGUUAAAGCUCCGAAUCUUCAUCUCUACCGGAUUGCAUUCCCUACCUGCUUCUCUCAUCAGAAUUCGAAAAUGUUCGACUGCUUCUCGAAUUUUGGCCUCUCUUCAACCUCCCGAUGUUCCUCGUUUAGCUGAAACAGCUCGAAUUUCUCUCACUCCCACUCAGGUUGAAGAAUUUGCGCCUAAAAUUAGACAAGUUGUUGACUGGUUUGGGCAGCUCCAGACAGUUGAUCUUCAAAGUAUUGAACCAGCCAUUAGAGCAGAUACCGAAGGUGGCAAUCAGCGGAAUGACAUUCCUGAAACAUUUGAAAAUAGAGAGGCCAUGAUUGGUGCAGUUCCAGUCUUUGAUGAGCCGUAUAUCAAAGUUCCUAAAGUUCUGAAUAAGGAGUAGUUGCUAAGGUUUGUUAAGGGGGCUGAUUGCCGCACAUUCCGGUUGUCACAUAGGAUGUUUAUCCAAAAAAAGGUCUCUAUUGCGAAAGGGACCUAGCCUCGUUAUUGAUCUUAUCAACUCUCCCUGUAGAUGAUGGAGACAGAUUCAGACACUCAGCAUGAGUAAGGAGAUUGUGUUAACCUUGGGAGUAAUGCAUACGCAAUUUAGCACAAGAUCGUGACAGUGGAUUUUUCACGACACAAUGUCGAUUGACCCUGGUUCUAACAAUUUUUUCCUUGAGGAUCUACCACUUUAUUUCGGUUUAUUUCCUCCUUUCUCUAAAUUAUAAUCGAUGAGUAUGUAAAUUAUGUUUUAAAUUUAUGUAAUUAUUUAUCAUCUUACCUACUAUAUUUCGGGGGCAGAUGCAGGUAAGGGCAUUUCUGGGUCCCACUGGAGUAGUUCUAGAAGUUAGUAUGGUCAAAUCUUACCAAAUCUUCCCUGAUAUAUCAUUUUUUUUUCUCCUUAAAAAAUAUUAGUACAUUUAUGAUUGUUAUUUUCAUAUAAAGUCAAUGACCAAAGAAAAUUGGAUCUCUUAGAAUAAUAA
Molecule: RNA transcript, 1151 nt
Organism: Benincasa hispida (wax gourd)
Lineage: Eukaryota; Viridiplantae; Streptophyta; Magnoliopsida; Cucurbitales; Cucurbitaceae
Gene name: glutamyl-tRNA(Gln) amidotransferase subunit C
Source: RefSeq, a predicted model, not a curated record